RNAcentral lists this ribosomal RNA (429 nucleotides) under uncultured bacterium. RNAcentral's name for it is "bacterial SSU rRNA". It matches the Rfam family "Bacterial small subunit ribosomal RNA", at positions 29 to 449 of the family's 1533-position model. The record is from RNAcentral.
AAUGAACGCUGGCGGCGCGCCUAAUACAUGCAAGUCGAGCGAGAAGACGUAGCAAUACGUUUGUAAAGCGGCGAACGGGUGAGGAAUACAUGGGUAACCUACCCUCGAGUGGGGAAUAACUAGCCGAAAGGUUAGCUAAUACCGCGUACGCUCCUUGGACUUCGGUUCAGGGAGGAAAGCGAUACCGUGGGUAUCGCGCUCUUGGUUGGGCUCAUGUCCUAUCAGCUUGUUGGUGAGGUAACGGCUCACCAAGGCUUCGACGGGUAGCUGGUCUGAGAGGACGAUCAGCCACACUGGCACUGCGACACGGGCCAGACUCCUACGGAGGCAGCAGUAAGGAAUAUUGCGCAAUGGGCGAAAGCCUGACGCAGCGACGCCGCGUGGGGGAUGAAGGUCUUCGGAUUGUAAACCCCUUUCGGGAGGGAAGAU